GGAGGUGUACUUUAAGAAGAAGACUUGGUUUGCAUCUAAGCAGUAGAAUUUAUUCUCAUCUCCA
This 64-nucleotide transfer RNA is filed under the name Auriculastra duplicata. Its description in RNAcentral is "tRNA-Ala". Lineage: Eukaryota; Metazoa; Mollusca; Gastropoda; Ellobiida; Ellobiidae. The record is from RNAcentral.